RNAcentral lists this long non-coding RNA (1093 nucleotides) under Elaeis guineensis (African oil palm). RNAcentral describes it as "long non-coding RNA (EGUI_LNC005145)". The record is from RNAcentral. Lineage: Eukaryota; Viridiplantae; Streptophyta; Magnoliopsida; Arecales; Arecaceae.
CCACAUGGAUAGAGAUUGCUCAAAAGGAAAGAAGAAAAUUGGUUACAGUGUCAUAUCAGAGACCUUCCACAGUGAUCUUCGGCCUCACUUCUUCCAACAUUGAAGGAAUGAAGAAUCUUAUAGAAUAUUUUGUGCUUGUUUGUUUGUUUGUCAGACAGAGAUUCAACCCUAACAUCUUAAAAGGUGAAGAAACUUUACGUUCUUUCACGCUGCAUUCCAAAUGAAGACUAAUUCAUACGACAACAUCGAGUAUUUACAGAGGAAGAGGCAAACAAAGGGGAACGGAGGAAUUAGGAAAGCUUCCAUCCCAUUGACUUAACCUCCUUCCCCAUCUUAACCUUCAUAUCCAAAAUCUUAACAAUUUCCUAAAUUAAAACAAAAAAAACACCAAAAAAUUCCUGAGAAAGAUCGAGCUAUUACACUACCAAGAUUUUUCAGAUAUUUAAACAAAAUGCCCAUUAACACUUCACAUACAUGAAUUUCACUAGGCAAACACAUGCAACUACAAUCAUAGACGACUGACUCGAACUAAAUUUGCACUCAAAAUCUCCCGAAACAAAGAGAGCCCAUCAAACCGCUGCCACUCCCUGGCCAUUCCCGUCCAUCAAACAAAACCUUGAAGGCUUGGGCACGAAGUUCCUCCUCCUACACAGUUCUUGGCUGGUUGGUCUGACGAUUUGCAUGAGGAGGGCCCUCAUCGACCUCGCCUUCGCUGCUCCCUUGGACUCCGCCGAGCCAGAGUGAGCUCCCGAAUGCUUCCGGGCACCACGGUGCAGCUUGCACCGGAAUGAUCCGGGGUGCGUCGUCGGCGAGCAAAGGCAGGACCGAGACGGUGUCUGAGGCUUGCUUGUAGAUGAAGAGGUAUUAGGAUCCAUGGACCAUGUGGGCGUCGAGGUCCAACUUCAGAUGGAGUUUGAGGUGGGGGCGGCGGCGCCUUGUUCCGUUGUUCAUAGUUUUUUUCUUUUUAGUUUACUAUGUUAUACUCAUCAAUUCUCCUUGUGCUAAUCCAAAGGGGCAAAGUGGUUCUGACGCGUGUUUUUGUCGUUGUCAACAGUUGUUAAGUUGUAACAGCGUUAUCAGCUUAUCAUAAUUG